This 53-nucleotide ribosomal RNA is filed under the name Xenorhabdus khoisanae. RNAcentral's name for it is "partial 23S ribosomal RNA". The record is from RNAcentral. Lineage: Bacteria; Pseudomonadati; Pseudomonadota; Gammaproteobacteria; Enterobacterales; Morganellaceae.
CUAACCAGUACUAAUGAACCGUGCGGCUUAACCUGACAACACCGAAGGUGUUU